Molecule: non-coding RNA, 6354 nt
Organism: Oryctolagus cuniculus (rabbit)
Lineage: Eukaryota; Metazoa; Chordata; Mammalia; Lagomorpha; Leporidae
Source: RefSeq, a predicted model, not a curated record
GCGCCGGCUGGGAAUGUACUAUUUCAAAGAAGUGAUUUCAACCAGCUAAGUUUUCUUUUCCUAAGAAAAGAAAGAGGAGAAUGUCAACCCCAGGGGCACAAUCAAACACAGCACAGUCAGCUAAUCAAAACAAGCAGAUCAGCUACUAUGGUGGUGCAGAGGUCACCUGUAUCCCAUAUUGGAGUGCCAGUUCCAGUUCUUGCUGCUCUGCUUCCAAUCUAGCUUCCUCCUAAGGCACCUAGGAAGGCAGCAGAUGAUGGCCCAAGUGCUUGUACCCUUGCCACCCAUGUGGGAGAUCAGGACGGAGUUCUUCACUCCUGGAUUCAGCCUGGCCCAGCACUGGAUGUUUUGGCCAUUUGGGUCUGUCAGUAAGCACAGAAAAAAGGCACAAAAAAUUGUCACUCAUAGUAUAAGAGCUCUAAGAAAUCUCUCAUGUAAUAUCAGAAAAUUUCUAAUUUUCUGUUACCUUCAAAUGCAUCUUAAACUAUGGGGCAGUUUUAAAAUUAUAUGCUUCCUAGCCGGCGCCGCGGCUCACUAGGCUAAUCCUCCGCCUUGUGGUGCCGGCACACUGGGUUCUAGUCCCAGUCGGGGCGCCGGAUUCUGUCCCAGUUGCCCCUCUUCCAGGCCAGCUCUCUGCUGUGGCCCAGGAAGGCAGUGGAGGAUGGCCCAAGUGCUUGGGCCCUGCACCCCAUGGGGCACCAGGAUAAGUACCUGGCUCCUGCCAUCGGAGCAGUGUGGUGCGCCAGCCGUGGCGGCCAUUGGAGGGUGAACCAAUGGCAAAGGAAGACCUUUCUCUCUGUCUCUCUCUCUCACUGUCCACUCUGCCUGUCAAAAAAAAAUUAUAUACUUCCUUGGUGAAACACAUUUCUCUUGCCUUAAUCAAGAAUUCCAAAUAUUCAUAAUUCUUAGCUAGGUAAAAUAAAAAGUCAGUUAUCUAUGCAUAUAUAUCUGUCUAUGAAGGGACUUCAACAAGUUUAUGGGAAAAAUGAAACUGAAAAAUAAGGUUUUUUAAAAUUUUUAUUUAUUUCAGAGACAGAGGCAAAGAGAGGGACAGAGAAAGAGAGAGUAUUCUCAUCUACUAAUUCACACACUAAAUGCCCACAGUAGCUGGAAUUGACUCAGGCUGAAGCCAAGAACCAGGAACUCAAUCCAGUUCUCAUACUUGAGUGGCAAGAACUCAACUAUUGGAGCUAUCACCUUCUGCCUCCCAGAAUAUGCAUUGACAGCGAGCUGAAUUAGGAGGGAAGCCAGGACUUGAGCCUAGGCAACUGCAAUAUGGGAUGCAGGAACUUAACCAGCAUCUUAACAAUCAGGCUAAAUACUUGGGCCAAUAAGUUUGUUUGGGUGCAAACAAUUUUGAAAUCCAUGUAUGGGUUUUUUUAUAAAAUACAUUUUUCAUGAACUUUUUGAAGAUGCCACAUAUGCAUGGAUUUACAAUUUUAUUGUACCAAAAUAAAAUAAAAAAAAGUAGCCAUUUUUUUUGAAAAGUAAAGUAACAGAGAGUGAAAGCAAGAGCAAAAGUGAGAGAAACAGGGCUGGCGCUGCGGCUCAAUAGGCUAAUCCUCCGCCUUGCGGCGCCAGCACACCAGGUUCUAGUCCCGGUCGGGGCGCCGGAUUCUUUCCUGGUUGCCCCUCUUCCAGGCCAGCUCUCUGCUGUGGCCCAGGAAGGCAGUGGAGGAUGGCCCAAGUGCUUGGGCCCUGCACCCCAUGGGGGACCAGGAGAAGCACCUGGCUCCUGUCUUCAGAUCAGCGUGGUGCACCAGCCGCAGCGCGCCAGCCAUGGUGGCCAUUGGAGGGUGAACCAAUGGCAAAAGGAAGACCUUUCUGUCUCUCUCUCUCUCACUAUUCACUCUGCCUGUAAAAAAAAAAAAAAAAAAAAAAAGUGAGAGAAACAGGACACAGAGAGAGAGAUUUUCCAUCUGCUGGUUCACUCCCCGAACAGCUGAAACAGCCAGGUCUGGGCCAUGAUUGAAGCCAGGAGCCAGGAACUCCAUCCUGGUCUCCACAUGGAUGGCAGGGGCCCAAGUACCUGCGGCAUCUUCCCUUGGUUUCCCAGGCACAGUAACAAGGAGUUGGAUAGAAGUAGCGUAGCUGGAAUUCAAACUGAGGCUCUGAUAUGGCAUGCCAGUGUCACAAACAGCAGCGUCAUCUGCUGUUCCACAAUGCCAAGCCCUAAAUAAGCAUUCCCUUUAACCCUAUUUUCCAUUAAUUUUUGAAAAUCCUCUCAUAUCUAUGUAUAUUUAUAUGUGUGGUAGGUAUCUAUGAUGUCUUACAAGUAUCAGCUACAAGCCAAAAAGUCAUUUGACAGAUACCAAUCAAGGUAUAAAGCAUGCAACUAGAUUAGAAGUAAACAUACCUUUGGGGGUCAUAAUUAUUUCACAAGGUGUACAAAUAGAAAAAUACAGAGGGAUCCAGAAAGAUAUUUAAAUUGUAAUUUUGUCCUUGUUUUUCAAGAUUUAUUUGUUUAUUUGAAAAUCGGAUUACAGAGAGAGGGAGAAACAGAGAGCAAGAGAUCUUCCAUCUUUUGGUUCACUCCCUAGGUGGCUGCAAUGACCAGGGCUGGGCCAGGCUGAAGUCAGGAGCUUCAUCUGGGUCUCCCACAAGAGUAGCAGGGGCCUAGUUAGACCAUCUUCCGCUGCUUUUUCCAGGUCAUUAGCAGGGAGUUGGAUCAGAAGUGGGCACCCACAUGGGACCCCGCUUUGCAGGCAGCAGCUUUACCUGCUAUUCCAUAAUGCUGGCCCCAAUUUUGUCCUUUGACAGAUACAGACUGCCAUGUUCCUUGGGCUUCCAUUGAUGACACAGACCUCAACUUCAGCAACAUCUAAAAUAGUCUCUAACUGGAUAUAAGAUUUCAAAGCACGUAUUUCAGGACUCAUUUGUCACAAUACCACCAAACGUACAUUUCUUAGGUCUGCAUAUCAAAAAUCUCUGCUUUAUAUUACUGGAUUUACUAGAAAACGUCUUCCACCUAAUUGUAUUAUCUCCAGCCAUCUCAUUCUUGAGUAGUAAUGUGUGUGAGCCAUCUUUGACCUGCUGCUUAAUGCUAUUUCCUGUAAAAACUGUUCUUCAGAUCUCAUUUUCCUUCAGAAAUUUCCUCAUACAUAAAUCAUAAGCCUUACAUAACAUUCAAUGUCUCUAAACCUAGGCAAAGUGAGAUUUUUCACAUCAACGUUUCACCUGCAAAAUCCCUAAGGACCAGCUGACAUAGAGGCUAAUCCCAGCAACAGGCACUGUGCUGAGUGGAAGCUGGGAGCAAGGAACUCAGUCACUUGGGCCAUCACUGUGGCAUCUGAGUGUCUGCAUGAGCAGGAACCUUUGUCAGCAGGAGCUGCAGCUGGGCAUCAGGCCAGGUGUGAAGACAGCUGCGCAGCUACAACACCCGCACAGUAAUUCCAGCUCCUUUUCUUGCAAAGGCAAGACUGACUUCAAUCCAGACACCAGAGCUUUGCUUUGUUUAAAGGUGGAUGGGAUGCUAAUGUGAAGAUGUGACUCAGUUCUUCGCAUCCUCUGCCAGGGUGAUGGACUGGGGAGAGUUCAGAACAGCAGUACUUAUGUAAGUAAACCCUUUAUAGGGUGUAAUUGUCAAAACCCAGCAAGUGGGGCUUGCCUCCCCAUUUCUAUUCAGUUACCUUCUUCCCAUUCCCAGAUGGGCAUCUGAGCAAACACUGGGUCUCUGCCUAAAGUCUCCGGCUUCUUUUCCUCCUGUCUUAUAUGUUUUCUCUUCACCCCUUCCCAGACAGCUGUACUCCUCUUCACUUUGAAUUUUUGCAGAGUUGACAACACUUCCUCUCACCCCUCAUUUUCAAUCUCUUCCCAUUGCUUCCAUUUCCUGAUCAUCUGAUGAUAGUCUGUCAUUUUUUUCACCGAAACAGCGAUGGAUGGAGCCCUCUGACAAAUAAAAUCCAGAAGAGACAGACCCACAAAAGGGACUGACAUCUCUGCUCCCCCACAAUGGAAGGAAGAAGCAGCACUUCCUGGCCUGGCUAACCAGGGACCAAGCUGGGUACAUUGAGAGAAUGCCAACUCUCACUCUGAGAUCAGCUACUCUUAGAAGAGGAUGGGGAGGGCAUUUGGCGCAGCUGUUAAGACACCAUCUCAGGGGCCAGCGCCAUUUCAGGGGCCGGCGCCAUGGCUCACUGGGUUAAUCCUCUGCCUGUGGCACCGGCAUCCCAUAUGGGCGCCAGGUUCUAGUCCUGGUUGCUCCUCUUCCAGUCCAGCUCUCGCUGUGGCCCAGGAGAGCAGUGGAGGAUGGCCCAAGUGCUUGGGCCCUGCACCCGCAUGGGAAACCGGGAGGAAGCUCCUGGCUCCUGGCUUUGGAUCGGCGUAGUACCGGCUGUAGCAGCCAUUUGAGGGGUGAACCAACGGAAGGAAGACCUUUCUCUAUGUCUUUCUCACUGUCUAACUCUAUCUGUCAAAUAAAUAAAAUUUAUAUAUUAAAAAAAAGACACCAUUUCAGACACCUGUAGACACCUGUAUCCCAUAUCAGAGAGUGUUAGUUGGAGUUCUAGCUCCACUCCUGAUGAGAUCGGGAGACUUGGAUUGAAUUCCUGGUUCUUGUCUCUGGCUUGAUUCUUUCCUAGCUAUUGUGGGCCUUUUGGUGGUGAACCAGAAUAAGGAAGAUCUCUAUCUGCCUUUCAAAUAAAUAAAUAAAUAAAAUGUAAAAACAAAAACAGGGUGGUUAUUUGAAAAUGUAUAUUAUAAUGGAGUGCAAGGUGUGUAGCACAGCCUUUAGCUCAGCAACUUGCAGGCUAUGUGGUCUCAUGCAAUGAUUUUUUCUCUGUAAAUAUCAGUUUUUAUAAAUGUAAAAUGGGCUAAUAAAGUAUUUUCUUCAAUGAAAGGCAGGAUCUUUUUUUCUAUUUCACUGGUUAUGAAAUUGGGACACCCCUCAAUCCGUGCUGGUUUUGGUUGUCUGUAUCCUAGUGACUUCCUUUUGGGGUUGUUGAGAGGCUUACAGGUGACAGUGCCUGUAAAAUGCGCUUCAUCGGUGGGGAUUUCUCUAGUGCAGAUGCUUUGUCUGCAGGAAGGAAAGGAAGGCCUGUUAGAAUCCGUGGGAAAGGGAGAUGAUGUUUGUGUUGGUGGGACAGAGGUGUAUGUGUGUGUGUUCAUUUCACUCACAAGUCUUCAACCUGGGCAGGGCUUAGUGGAGACAGCUCAUCUCUGUUCCAGGAGGCCCCAGACCCAGAAGCGUGAGUAGGCUGGAGGACCAGCUUCCAAGGUGGCUCUCCUGUAUGCGGGCUGUGGUAUUUUUAAAAGUUUUUAAAAUUUCAACAUUUAUUUUAUUUUGCUAUAACUUAUGCAUCAUAAAACCAACCAGUUUAAAAUGUGCAUUUCAAUAAUUUCUUUUAGUAAAUAUAUCCAAUACAAACAUCACUAUCAUCCAGAAUUAGAACAGCUCCUUCACCCCAAAUCAUUCCUUUGUGUUUGUUUGCAGUGAAUCUCCACUUGCAUUCUCAAACUUAAACAAAUGCUCGUCUGCUUUAUUUUGGUCUUUAUAAAUUCAUCUUUGUUGCACAUCUCAUAUAAAUGAAAUCAUACAAUAUGAAGGGUUUUUGUAUUUGGGCUGUUUUACCAUUAUUUUGUUAAGGCUUGUGGUUUUUUGUUUGCUUGUUUUUAAGUGGUAAGCGUGCUAGCAAUAGAAAUAAUGAAGAGAGUACACCUGGCAGAUCAGGUGGGCAUCUCAGUAAAGAACAGAGAGCCCAGUAUGCAUUCAGACUGGAGUUUUUACAGAUGCUGGGUGUGGGCCUUUCUCCUUCCCCAAUACCCUUUCUGGAAUACUGCCUGGUGGAGGACUUUCUGGAUGUAGAAUCCCACCCAGCACUUCAUAACAGUCCCCUGGGUGAAGGGCAGAUGAGAUUCCCUUAAGCUGCCCCUAGGGAGAAGACAGGGACUCAUCCAACCGGGUUUUUGAACAAUGGCAAGACUUGAGAUAUAUAAAUUAUGGUUUGCUGCCAAAGCUUGCUUUCUUGUCCCAUCACACAGAAAUUCCCAUUUUUCUUCAGCCCCUUACACAUACAUAGGCUCAUGUCUACCCAGCUGCCUUAAUAUUUCUCUCCACCCCAAGAAGUAAUCCAUAAUCUUAUGGGGGUAACAUGGAUGAGAGUUCAUCUUCUAUGUCUUCUUCAGAGCUGACAUAUGGACACAGAGCUGCUUAUGGGUAUUUCUUGCUAGCUGUCCUAGAGUGUUCAGAGGUGGCCUGGGAAAUGAUUGUUUUGCCUGAUGCAGAGGAUUGAUUAUAUCAUCCAAAAGGAUAGCCUGGGAGCCCUGUCUCAUGACCAUCUGGAGUUGGACAGCUUAUACUCUAUUAGAAACAAAAUGAACAGGAGCAUUAAAGAAAGACACAUGGUCCAAAGAGAA